AUUGAACGCUGGCGGCAGGCCUAACACAUGCAAGUCGAACGAGUGGCGGACGGGUGAGUAAUGUCUGGGAAACUGCCUGAUGGAGGGGGAUAACUACUGGAAACGGUAGCUAAUACCGCAUACCAUCGGAUGUGCCCAGAUGGGAUUAGCUAGUAGGUGGGGUAAAGGCUCACCGAGGCGACGAUCCCUAGCUGGGCUGAGAGGAUGACCAGCCAACCUGGACCGGAGAACCGGCCCGAACUCCUCCGGGGGCCACAAGUGGGGAAUAUUGCACAAUGGGGGAAAGCCUGAUGCAGCCAGGCGGCGUGUAUGAAGAAGGCCUUCGGGUUGUAAAGUACUUUCAGCGGGGAGGCGUUACCCGCAGAAGAAGCACCGGCUAACUACGUGCCAGCAGCCGCGGUAAUAC
This 406-nucleotide ribosomal RNA is filed under the name uncultured bacterium. RNAcentral's name for it is "partial 16S ribosomal RNA". It matches the Rfam family "Bacterial small subunit ribosomal RNA", at positions 29 to 526 of the family's 1533-position model. The record is from RNAcentral.